This 66-nucleotide transfer RNA is filed under the name Meretrix lamarckii (Korean hard clam). RNAcentral's name for it is "tRNA-Pro". Lineage: Eukaryota; Metazoa; Mollusca; Bivalvia; Venerida; Veneridae. RNAcentral also lists the same sequence under 1 other name. The record is from RNAcentral.
CAAGAUGUAGUUUAAAAUAAAAUUCUAGCUUUGGGAGUUAGUGAUGUUAUCUGGUAACUGUCUUGA